Long non-coding RNA from Centrocercus urophasianus (Greater sage-grouse), 507 nucleotides. RefSeq lists it as uncharacterized. The transcript has 3 exons. The record is from RefSeq and is a predicted model, not a curated record. Lineage: Eukaryota; Metazoa; Chordata; Aves; Galliformes; Phasianidae.
ACGAGAAAGUCAGAUACAGAUGAAGAUAUACCUGCACAGUCCUGAAUGUGACAUCAAGAUGAAUUUAAGUCAAAUCCUGAUGCAAAGGAUUUGAAUGUGUCUCUCUGGCCCGGAAGAUGUGGUCCAAGGUUUCUCAGCAGGGAGAAGGUGGAGGUGGGGGAGACAUCAUCCUUGGAGGUGUUCCAGAACCAUGGAGAUGUAGCCUUGAGGGUCAUGUUUCAAAUGCAGCUGUAAUGUACAAGAAGAGGGGCAGAGCUCUGAAGACCUGACAUGAUCACAUCCUAUGACCACAUCUGCUGUGCGACCUCCUCAACUGCCAUCUUUUUGAAGCCUUCUCUUCAAGACAGAGACCCAAAGAAGUGCCACACACACAGCAGCUGGAGCAGCCAAAGAGUUAAAUCACUUCCCAUCACCGUUUGUGUGGGAUACAGAAACAACUUUUCCUACUGCAUCCGCAGCUGCCAGCAGAACUCGGUGACAGCUUUAUAAAUCGCACCUGAAGCAAAU